AACGAACGCUGGCGGCAUGCCUAACACAUGCAAGUCGAACGAGACCUUCGGGUCUAGUGGCGCACGGGUGCGUAACGCGUGGGAACCUGCCCUUGGGUUCGGAAUACCUCCCCGAAGGGGGUGCUAAUGCAGGUUAGGUUUUUGGCCCAAAGAUUUUUCGCCUUGGGAUGGGGCCGUGUUGGAUUAGCGCGUUGGUAGGGUAACAGCCUACCAAGGAGCCGAUUCGUAGCUGGUUUGGGAGGAUGAUCAGCCACGCUGGGACUGAGACACGGCCCAGACUCCUACGGGAGGCAGCAGUAGGGAAUAUUGGACAAUGGGGGAAAGCCUGAUCAAGCAAUGCCGCGGGAGUGAUGAAGGCCUUAGGGUUGUAAAGCUCUUUUACCCGGGAUGAUAAUGACAGUACCGGGAGAAGAAGCACCGGCUAACUCCGUG
RNAcentral lists this ribosomal RNA (432 nucleotides) under uncultured bacterium. RNAcentral's name for it is "partial 16S ribosomal RNA". It matches the Rfam family "Bacterial small subunit ribosomal RNA", at positions 29 to 507 of the family's 1533-position model. The record is from RNAcentral.